RNAcentral lists this ribosomal RNA (440 nucleotides) under uncultured bacterium. Its description in RNAcentral is "partial 16S ribosomal RNA". It matches the Rfam family "Bacterial small subunit ribosomal RNA", at positions 338 to 795 of the family's 1533-position model. The record is from RNAcentral.
CCUACGGGUGGCAGCAGUGGGGAAUAUUGCACAAUGGGGGAAACCCUGAUGCAGCAACGCCGCGUGAGUGAAGAAGUAUUUCGGUAUGUAAAGCCCUAUCAGCAGGGAAGAGAAUGACGGUACCUGACUAAGAAGCACCGGCUAACUACGUGCCAGCAGCCGCGGUAAUACGUAGGGGGCGAGCGUUAUGCGGAUUUACUGGGGGUAAAGGGCGCGUAGGCGGUUCAGCAAGUCUGAAGUGAAAGCCCGUGGCUUAACCGCGGAACGGCUUUUGAAACUGUGGAACUGGAGUGCGGGAGAGGCAAGUGGAAUUCCUGGUGUAGCGGUGAAAUGCGUAGAUAUUAGGAGGAACACUAGUGGCGAAGGCGACUUGCUGGACAAUAACUGACGUUGAGGCGCGAAAGCGUGGGGAGCAAACAGGAUUAGAUACCCGAGUAGUC